RNAcentral lists this ribosomal RNA (253 nucleotides) under uncultured bacterium. RNAcentral's name for it is "partial 16S ribosomal RNA". It matches the Rfam family "Bacterial small subunit ribosomal RNA", at positions 524 to 776 of the family's 1533-position model. The record is from RNAcentral.
UACGUAGGGUGCAAGCGUUAAUCGGAAUUACUGGGCGUAAAGCGCGCGUAGGCGGCUAUGCAAGUCAGAUGUGAAAUCCCCGGGCUCAACCUGGGAACUGCAUUUGUGACUGCAUGGCUAGAGUACGGUAGAGGGGGAUGGAAUUCCGCGUGUAGCAGUGAAAUGCGUAGAUAUGCGGAGGAACACCGAUGGCGAAGGCAAUCCCCUGGACCUUUACUGACGCUCAUGCACGAAAGCGUGGGGAGCAAACAGG